AUGAAACACCAUUUCCUGCCUGAUCACCGAAGUUAAGCAAUGUCGAUCCCCUGAUCAGUACCUAGAUGGGUGACUGCUUGGGAAAACCAGGUGCUGUAA
Acanthosepion pharaonis is the source of this 99-nucleotide non-coding RNA. NCBI's taxonomy places the organism in Eukaryota, Metazoa, Mollusca, Cephalopoda, Sepiida, Sepiidae. The record is from the annotation of a GenBank genome assembly.